Long non-coding RNA from Homo sapiens (human), 1645 nucleotides. RefSeq annotates it as PRH1-PRR4 readthrough. NCBI's taxonomy places the organism in Eukaryota, Metazoa, Chordata, Mammalia, Primates, Hominidae. The transcript is spliced from 10 exons. The record is from RefSeq and is marked validated.
GCAACGGACCCUGGGAGUCGGCCAUCAUGCUGGCCCCGGAGGCCGUUAGCUUAGUCAUGGCUCUAAAUAUGUACCUGCAAUCGGAUGUUGAGGAUCACCGAGCCCGCGACGUAGAAGUACGGGAAGUUCAUGCGCAGCUGCCAGGCCAGCUCGAAGAAGGCGAGCAGGGUGCGGGAGAGCCCCUUGCAGAAGACGCCGUACGAGGUUCUCCAGCAUUUGGCUCAAGGCCCCAAGGGCACAUGUGACAAGAAGGCGCCAGCUUUUUAAACAUUGGAAGUUCUUCUGUGUCAGUUCUGUGACAGAACAUUUACUUAACACAUCAUGAAGGCUAGUUUGGAUGUGGAGGGGAAUAGACUCCAUCUAUCCAUAUGAGAGUUGGAGUCUCACUCUGUUAUCCAGGCUGGAGUUCAGUGGUAGGAUCAUGGCUUACUGCAGUCUGGAACUCCUGGGCUCAAACCAUCCUCCCACCUCAGCCUUCUGCUGCAGAAGAAUAUUUUGCCUGCUGGAACCUGCUGUAUCUACUCAAGAGUGGAAGUUUUCACAGGGAGCUGACACGUUUCUCCCAGCACAAAGUUGGGAGUGACACCAGAGCCUCCUGCAAGAUGCUUCUGAUUCUGCUGUCAGUGGCCCUGCUGGCCUUCAGCUCAGCUCAGGAUUUAAAUGAAGAUGUCAGCCAGGAAGAUGUUCCCCUCGUAAUAUCAGAUGGAGGAGACUCUGAGCAGUUCCUAGAUGAGGAGCGUCAGGGACCACCUUUGGGAGGACAGCAAUCUCAACCCUCUGCUGGUGAUGGGAACCAGGAUGAUGGCCCUCAGCAGGGACCACCCCAACAAGGAGGCCAGCAGCAACAAGGUCCACCACCUCCUCAGGGAAAGCCACAAGGACCACCCCAACAAGGAGGCCAGCAGCAACAAGGUCCACCACCUCCUCAGGGAAAGCCACAAGGACCACCCCAACAGGGAGGCCAUCCCCCUCCUCCUCAAGGAAGGCCACAAGGACCACCCCAACAGGGAGGCCAUCCCCGUCCUCCUCGAGGAAGGCCACAAGGACCACCCCAACAGGGAGGCCAUCAGCAAGGUCCUCCCCCACCUCCUCCUGGAAAGCCCCAGGGACCACCUCCCCAAGGGGGCCGCCCACAAGGACCUCCACAGGGGCAGUCUCCUCAGUAAUCUAGGAUUCAAUGACAGAUGUGAACUAUGAAGACUUUACUUUCACCAUACCAGAUGUAGAGGACUCAAGUCAGAGACCAGAUCAGGGACCCCAGAGACCUCCUCCUGAAGGACUCCUACCUAGACCCCCUGGUGAUAGUGGUAACCAAGAUGAUGGUCCUCAGCAGAGACCACCAAAACCAGGAGGCCAUCACCGCCAUCCUCCCCCACCUCCUUUUCAAAAUCAGCAACGACCACCCCGACGAGGACACCGUCAACUCUCUCUACCCCGAUUUCCUUCUGUCAGCCUGCAGGAAGCAUCAUCAUUCUUCCAGAGGGACAGACCAGCAAGACAUCCCCAGGAGCAACCACUCUGGUAAUCUAGAAUUCAGUGGCAGAAAAUAAAUAAGAAGAUAACUUCCUUCAGAAAGCCAUGACAUUGAAAUAAUGUGGUCAUAACUCUUUCUUCAGUAUACCAAUAAAAUAUUAAUAGCAUGCAA